GUGAAUCAUCAAAUUUUUGAACGCAAAUUGCACUCUCCGGUUUUCCGGGAGAGUAUGCCUGUUUGAGGGUCUGUUUAAAAAAUAAUCGAGGCUGCUGCUGUAGUGGCGCUUCGGAAUUGGGUAUUCUUCCACUUUUCGGGUUUGUAACCGCCCUAAAUUUUUCCUUACGUUUUCUACAAAGGUGUCUAAGAAUUCCUUGUACGUUCG
This 207-nucleotide unclassified non-coding RNA is filed under the name Glomeromycetes sp. RNAcentral's name for it is "partial contains 5.8S ribosomal RNA and internal transcribed spacer 2". The stretch from base 1 to 72 matches the Rfam family "5.8S ribosomal RNA", at positions 84 to 154 of the family's 154-position model. The record is from RNAcentral. Lineage: Eukaryota; Fungi; Glomeromycota; Glomeromycetes.